GUGCUUAACACAUGCAAGUCGAACGGAAAGGUCUCUUCGGAGAUACUCGAGUGGCGAACGGGUGAGUAACACGUGGGUGAUCUGCCCUGCACUUCGGGAUAAGCCUGGGAAACUGGGUCGUAAUACCGGAUAGGACCACGGGAUGCAUGUCUUGUGGUGGAAAGCGCUUUAGCGGUGUGGGAUGAGCCCGCGGCCUAUCAGCUUGUUGGUGGGGUGACGGCCUACCAAGGCGACGACGGGUAGCCGGCCUGAGAGGGUGUCCGGCCACACUGGGACUGAGAUACGGCCCAGACUCCUACGGGAGGCAGCAGUGGGGAAUAUUGCACAAUGGGCGCAAGCCUGAUGCAGCGACGCCGCGUGGGGGAUGACGGCCUUCGGGUUGUAAACCUCUUUCACCAUCGACGAAGGUCCGGGUUCUCUCGGAUUGACGGUAGGUGGAGAAGAAGCACCGGCCAACUACGUGCCAGCAGCCGCGGUAAUACGUAGGGUGCGAGCGUUGUCCGGAAUUACUGGGCGUAAAGAGCUCGUAGGUGGUUUGUCGCGUUGUUCGUGAAAUC
RNAcentral lists this ribosomal RNA (557 nucleotides) under Mycobacterium tuberculosis variant bovis. Its description in RNAcentral is "bacterial SSU rRNA". It matches the Rfam family "Bacterial small subunit ribosomal RNA", at positions 44 to 601 of the family's 1533-position model. The record is from RNAcentral. Lineage: Bacteria; Bacillati; Actinomycetota; Actinomycetes; Mycobacteriales; Mycobacteriaceae.